This is an RNA transcript of Arachis duranensis, 4868 nucleotides long. RefSeq lists it as uncharacterized. The record is from RefSeq and is a predicted model, not a curated record. Lineage: Eukaryota; Viridiplantae; Streptophyta; Magnoliopsida; Fabales; Fabaceae. The transcript is spliced from 4 exons.
AAAAUGUCACUGUCACACUCACACACUGACACACACUGAGCAAUGGUCAGGACAAGAUGUCAUUAUCACAGUCUUGUUCAGAAGAGAACAUCCAUUAAGAAAGCGCAAGCAGCACAACAAUCUCCAAGAAACUUUCCACCGUGCUGCAUUUAUGAAAUUCCCGAUAUGCCCAUAGUGCUUGGCUUCUAUAAAUAUACCAUCAUCUGGCAAUGGCAUACAUAAUUCAUAUAAUCCAAGUGUGCUUCUAUGUGCAUUUACUUUUCAAAUUUAACUAAAAUCUCGAUUUUCUCUGCGUGCAAAUGCGCUCUUCUCCGUGACCAAUUCCAUCCUCUCCCACCAAAUCUCGUCGGGAGACGAUCUCCAUGCUCUUCCAUUAAAUUUGUCUCUGAAUAUGUUUUUGACUUUUCAUAAAAUUCGAUCAUAUCCAGAGUGAUGUUAUUUGGGUGCGAACUGAAGCAACGGAGUUUUGGUAAUUUAGGGUUUGUCCAUAGACAGGAACCAGCCAGGUUGGUGGGCAAGUGUUGGGCAAGCUUUCGAAGAUUUUAACCCUUUUAAAUGAGAGUGAUAGAUAGCAAAUUUUUGUUAACUCCACAAAUCACCUUCAACUCCAAUUUAUUAUUAUUGGCCAAAAUUAUUCGGUUUGGCUCUUGCUUGAAGACAGAUCCAUCACUAAAUCUUGCAUUUCGACUAUUUUUCUUGGAGCAUUGAAGAAAACUUGUCAAUAGCUGUUGCUGAGUUCAUCAAAUUGGCACCUACUCUUAGUUGGAGUUUUUGUGGACCUGUGAUUAGCACUAUGACAGACAGCAGUAGCACAUACUCAACACCAGUCACAGAGAGUGAUGUUGUAAGUGCUACCAACAAUGUAUACAUUUGCUUAAUCACCUUGGAGUUAGGUUCCAUAGCGAUCAAGUAUCAAGGCCUGACCAGCAAUCCUUUCCAGGAACACAUAGCAAGUUUGUUGAUUUUCCUUGUGGCUACAUUUUGCCAUGUUGUUGGACUUAAAGCAACCAAUAAAAACUUGCUUGCUACUAUUAUUAGACACUUUUCAGGUGUAAUUGCGUGUGAAGCACUCCUGUUGAUCCUUGUCGCUCAAUUAUUCAGGUGCAUCAUCAUCAAUAUUCUUAUUUCAUUGGUAGUACUUUUGAACUACUAUGAGGAUGUCCGUAAACUGGUCAUUGUAUGUUUUGAGAGGAUAUUUAAAUCAGAAACUUGGAGCAGGCUUAGCUGGAAAGGUUCCAAUACUGCAAAUCAAAGUGUUAACUCAGCUUCACAAGAAGGUUUAUAUGCUGAGGAAACAGAAAUUCAAGAAUUUGAGACCAGAGUUAGUUUAGAAUGACUUAUAGGAUGGCAGGUCUUCAUAAACCUCUUGGGAUUGCUUAGACAACACUUGUAACAGUUCUAUGUUAUUGUCUUGAUAGUAUGUUCACCAAGGAUAUGCCAAUGUGCGCUGUUGUUGUGGUAAACAGGGAUGAUUCUUGCUUUGGUGUUCAACUUAUUCCUCUUUUCUGCUAUGAGAGUGAAGCAUAUACAGCCUCAAAUAUUAACGGAGCUCAAACAUUCAAUGAACAGAGCUUAUGUUGUGGAAGAAAGAAAAUAGUAAGAAACUGGGCCUAGUAAGAUGUUACUGAAAUUUAUUCAAUUAAACUUUACUUCACAUGGACUACUGACCUAAUUAGCAAUGGUUAGAAAGCAUCUAGGAUCUCUGGAUUAUCUGCCCUGUAUUCAAUCAAUAUAUGAACAUCCGAUUGCUGCUAAGUUUGCUAUCACACUUUAUGUCCUGGAAACUCAUUCUAUCUGAGGAUGAAUGAGAAUCUGUUAAGAGAAGCAAAAUGUGGUCUGUGGUUAAAUAAAAUGUUUUUGAAGUACAAAAUUAUGAUACAUCAAGGGCAAAGAUCGUUUUUCUUAUUUCUCUUUUAUGCAAUAUAGCACAUGUUUAAUAAUUUCGAAUAUGUUGUGAUUGUCUCUUCUUUGUACUGUUAUUCAAUUAUUUGAAUAAUGUUGAAGGAAAAAUGCAUAAUUUCCUGAACUAGAAGGAUUGCAUUCGAUUGCUAUUGACUUAAAUAUGAUUAGAAAAACGUGUAUACUUCUAAAUGCUAUAUUUAUCUGAACCUAAAUGAAAUGUAACUAAUACCAAAUGUACUGCAUGUUCUGACCUGAAUGAAUUUGUUUGACUUAACUCAGUUGUUUCGCGCUUGAUAGCCACAAAUGGUACAUAUAACUUUUAUGCAACUAUGAAUGUCUUUAUAAUUUACAUUGAUGUCUAAAUUAAUAUUUCUUUGUACUAGUAAUUACUUUUAUGUGAUGUAACGACAAUACAACAGCACUUGUCCCAAUAGGUGGGGUUGGUUAUAUGAAUCAAAAGAUGUCAUUGCGUCUUGUCAUGUGUUGUAAUAACAAUAUGUGAAAAUAUACCAUAUUUUUGAACUUCCAUUCAAUGUAUGGUUUGGACUUCAGAGUACGUAUUGGUGAAUGUUUGACUAUAUUUCAUAGACAAGUGAAAUUGAAAGAAAGUGAGAAAAUCUGCAAGAGUUUUCUGGAAAGGCAAAUCUUGUUCUGGGAAGUACUUUGUUAGCAAGUCUGCAGGUUUAUCAAUUGAGGGAAUAUAAGAUAUGCGAAGUUUGUUUUAUAAACUCUUUGCUUUAAGAAAAAUAAGCUUAACUCCAUCUGUUUUAUCCUGGAGUGAAGCACUGGAUUAUGAAUCAAUUUGGUGCUUAAAUUGUCACAAUUAUAGAAUGUAUGGUCACUAAAUUUAAGGCUAUAUAUAAUAUUGAAGGCCUUGAGUUGAGGCCACUGAGAAAGGCACUCAUAAAUCUGAAAAACUAACUUCAAUGGGUGUUAAUAUUUGUUAUGUUGUUAUAGAAGACUUUGAUGGUAGCCCACGAGUCUUGCCAAACAUCAUGCUUUGCAGAAUUCAACAGUUUUGUUACUGAAUUGAAAUAGCACUGCUUAGUGAUUGAAGAUAGAAACAUGCAGUAAUAUAUUCUCGGACUUUAACCAUUGCCACCUCCCCCGACCCUAUUUUUCUCCCACAGAUUCCAAGAAUGUCAUCUUGAUGUGUGUUGAGACCUUUUUGCAGAACUGUGUCUUCUUCUUCUUUCACUACAAGGCUUCAUCCCAGAUUCUGAGCUGAACUAAAAUUGCCUGCUUUUAGCCUGUAUUGUUGCUCCAGCCUUGUAUUAGAACCAUUUUUGCUGGUGCAAGUGUGUAGAAUGUAUGGUCUCAAAGAUCAAUGGAUCUCUAGUACCAUGCCACAGGAAACUGAUAGGUUGGAGAUUAGGUUCCUAGAAACAGAGAAGAGUAUGUAUCUGUGUCUUGCAGUUACUAAAUGCUACAGCCAAGUUUGUUGCAUUUAAGCACUGAUGCAUGAAGCAUGCCAACUAAAUCUGCAAUGGUUGAGCAGAGUCCAGAGGCUCUGGAUCAUUCUUAAUCUGGCAAAAAUUUCUUGAUCACCAUUACUCCUGGAAAAACAAUUCCUGUCUCACAUUUUAGGCUUGUAGUAGAAGAUGCAUGAUAAUCUAGUCAAAGAAGCAGGUUGUGGUUAAGUUAGAAUGUUCUUGAAUUAUGAACUUAAGAAAGGAUGGCCAAAAAUUGUUUUGCAAAUAUUUUUGUGAAAUUUAGCAUUUGUGUGAUAAUUUUCAAUAUGUUAUUUUACUUGUUUGGCCUUAUUGAUGGAGUGAAUGAUGCUGAAGUAAAAAAGUGCAGUUUUCCUGACCAUUAAAGAUCUAUAAUGGAGUGGUUGUGCCUGCAAUGAGAUGAAAGAUUUUAAAUAUUUGUUCUUUUAAGUACAUGAUUUUCAAUUGACCCUCAGUGAUGCAUCACUGUAUUCGCCACCAGGUUUUGAUAUAAAUAAACUUGUUCUCUCCAACUUCUUAGCUGUUUCUUACUCUUUUUUUCUUUGGAUGAUAAAAGAAUUUCAAUAUGAUGAUGAGAAGGAUAAUACAAACUCGGGGUUAAGAGUUCCCCUAUACAACAGCAAAAUCCAAAAGCAAAAAGAUAUAUAUUAAAUUAGAGUAUUGGACUCAUAGUUUUGGUUGGAUGACUUCACAAACUUUCCUGGUUCAUAGCAUGAUUCAUGGCACCCUCUGGUAAAUUGUAUCCCAAAGCUAUACUUCCAUUUCAUCUCUCUGGAGUUAGCUUUGGUGGCUGUUUGUGUGCCAAAAUUCAGGCACCAAUCCUUUUCAGGCAUGGUAGUCAAGUGUGCUAGCUGUAUUCAUAGCUAUAUUUUACCAUGCCAUUUCACCAAAAGCAAUUUCAGCUUGAUAGUUGCGAUUUGCUUCCUCAUGCUUCUUGAAUGAAUGCAUGUGCGACUCUUUGGAUGCUUGUUAAUGAACAAAAGACUUUGUCUUCAACUCGAGAUCGCAGUUUUCUUUGACAUGUUAGAGAAAAUUUCAAAUAGACGCCUAAUUCAAUGACAUGACAUGUUUUUAACUGAGAAACUUGGGCGAAAAGCAGCAGCAGAUUAAGUUGUGCAGUGUCUAUUAUUUGCAAGGAAAUCCAUAUUGAAGAGGCUUCGCUGAGAAGCUCUUUUUGUUCUUGAUGAUGUUGCUAGGUUAGAGGCAGAGCAGUAAUUAGUCACUAGAACUAACAAGAGAGCCAUUGAUUAGUUUGUCUCUGGUUGUUGGGUCUUUAUGUGACACCAAGAAGUUUUGGCUAGUACCAGUUCUCCAGAGGUUUAUACAUGACUUGCAUGUUGAUUAUGCUAUAUUAGAUGAUAUUCACCCCUAUCUUUGUUAUUUCAUAGCAAUUCAGGGAUUGCCAUUUAGAAUGAUGUGGUUCUUUUGUAAAUCUUUAUUUCUUGUCUCUCUGACAAUUCAAAGAAUUAAGUUACUAUUCACUAGUCUGUUGCAGUACACAUGCAUCUUUUUAAA